CCUACGGGGUGCAGCAGUGGGGGAUAUUGCACAAUGGGGGAAACCCUGAUGCAGCGACGCCGCGUGUGGGAAGACGGUCCUCUGGAUUGUAAACCACUGUCCCCAGGGACGAAGAUGACUGUACCAGGGGAGGAAGCUCCGGCCAACUACGUGCCAGCAGCCGCGGUAAUCUGUAGGGAGCGAGCGUUGUCCGGCAUUACUGGGUGUAAAGGGCGCGUAGGCGGGAAUGCAAGUUGGGGGUAAAAUCUACCGGCUCAACCGGUAACCGCACUGAAAAAUGCAGUUCUUGAGUGAAGUAGAGGCAGGCGGAAUUCCUAGUGUAGCGGUGAAAUGCGUAGAUAUUAGGAAGAACACCAGUGGCGAAGGCGGCCUGCUGGGCUUUUACUUACGCUGAGGCUCGAAAGUGUGGGGAGCAAACAGGAUUAGAUACCCUUGUAGUC
This 440-nucleotide ribosomal RNA is filed under the name uncultured bacterium. RNAcentral describes it as "partial 16S ribosomal RNA". It matches the Rfam family "Bacterial small subunit ribosomal RNA", at positions 338 to 795 of the family's 1533-position model. The record is from RNAcentral.